RNAcentral lists this ribosomal RNA (254 nucleotides) under uncultured bacterium. RNAcentral's name for it is "partial 16S ribosomal RNA". It matches the Rfam family "Bacterial small subunit ribosomal RNA", at positions 524 to 776 of the family's 1533-position model. The record is from RNAcentral.
UACAGAGGUGGCAAGCGUUGUUCGGAAUUACAGGGCGUAAAGGGCGCGUAGGCGGUCUUCUAAGUCCUGUGUGAAAUCCCUCGGCUCAACUGAGGAACUGCACGGGAUACUGGAAGACUUGAGUUCGGGAGAGGGAAGCGGAAUUCCGGGUGUAGCGGUGAAAUGCGUAGAUAUCCGGAGGAACACCGGUGGCGAAGGCGGCUUCCUGGACCGAUUACUGACGCUGAGGCGCGAAAGCUAGGGGAGCAAACGGG